UGGGAAUAGCAAGAUGUUUCGGAGUCCGAGGUGUACCGGAACGGGAACCCGCAGCGCGUGCGUACCUGGUGACUCCCGCCUGAAUAUAUAGGCGGGUAGAGGGAACGUGGGGAAGUGAAACAUCUCAGUACCCACAGGAAGAGAAAGCAACAGCGAUUCCGUGAGUAGUGGCGAGCGAAAUCGGAAGAGGCUAAAACCUAGCGUGUGUGAUAGCCGGCAGGCGUUGCAUGUUUGGGGGGGGGUUUGUGGGGACUUUUUUUCGGGAUUUGUUUCUGCCCGAGCAGUCGACGUGACAAGAGGGGUAUAGACGAACGGUUUUUGAAAUGGCCGGUCAUAGAGGGGUGCGAACCCCCGUAGUCGAAAAUGCUUGUUCUUGGCGUGAAGAGUAUCCCAAGUAGCACGGGGGCCCGAGAAAUCCCCGUGUGAAUCUGUCAGGACCACCUGAUAAGCCUAAAUACUCCCAGAUGACCGAUAGCGGACAAGUACCGUGAGGGGAAAGGUGAAAAAGUACCCCCGGGGAGGGGGAGUGAAAAUAGUACCUGAAACCUUUGCUUUACAAAACCUUGGAGCCUCCUUAGUAGGGGUGACAGCGUGCCUUUUGAAGAAUGAGCCUGCGAGUUAGCGAUACGUGGCGAGGUUAACCCGUGUGGGGGUAGCCGUAGCCGAAA
This is a non-coding RNA of Microbacterium sp., 668 nucleotides long. NCBI's taxonomy places the organism in Bacteria, Bacillati, Actinomycetota, Actinomycetes, Micrococcales, Microbacteriaceae. The record is from Rfam.